AGUCACGCCCGGAGCCCGAUGGAGACCAGCGGCUCUGAGCUCCCGGGAAAGUGGCCGGGGCCUGGGCCCUGUUCCCAGGAAGCUCAGCAAGGCUCCGUGCCCCACAACCUGGAGGGGUGGGAGGGGAGUCUGGGUCGGGAUGGCUGCACCCUUGGCCCUUGGGUAGGAGCCCCCCACUACCACCCCCGGCAAGACCAGAAAGAAGCCUGGGUGUUGGGGGGAGGAGUUCAGAGAACCAAGCUCUGCGCAGACUCAGCGGGAGGAUUUGGAAUCGGAGCUGGAGUGUGGGGACGCCGGACAGAUGCCAGGGGAUCUACGUACCCAGGAGAAGGGCCCAGAACGAGCAGAUUUGAACUGAGACCAGUUGCUCUGCCUGUGGGUAUGAUGCUUCGGACAGCACCUGGCUCUGAGGACAGAGGCCCUGGACCCAAGCCACGCGGGCCCACCUUCUCCUGAAGAUCUGGGCUAACUGGGAAGCAAAAAUAAUUACUCUUGUGCCAAAAUGUCCUUGUAAUUAGCAGUUCUGGGAGAUAAAUGAAUUGAAAUAUG
Long non-coding RNA from Pan troglodytes (chimpanzee), 549 nucleotides. RefSeq lists it as uncharacterized. The record is from RefSeq and is a predicted model, not a curated record. NCBI's taxonomy places the organism in Eukaryota, Metazoa, Chordata, Mammalia, Primates, Hominidae. The transcript has 2 exons.